This 501-nucleotide ribosomal RNA is filed under the name uncultured bacterium. RNAcentral describes it as "partial 16S ribosomal RNA". It matches the Rfam family "Bacterial small subunit ribosomal RNA", at positions 30 to 523 of the family's 1533-position model. The record is from RNAcentral.
AUUGAACGCUGGCGGCAGGCUUAACACACGCAAGUCGAGCGGGGGAAGGUAGCUUGCUACCGGACCUAGCGGCGGACGGGUGAGUAAUGCUUAGGAAUCUGCCUAUUAGUGGGGGACAACAUCUCGAAAGGGAUGCUAAUACCGCAUACGUCCUACGGGAGAAAGCAGGGGAUCUUCGGACCUUGCGCUAAUGGAUGAGCCUUAGUCGGAUUAGCUAGUUGGUGGGGUAAAGGCCUACCAAGGCGACGAUCUGUAGCGGGUCUGAGAGAAUGAUCCGCCACACUGGGACUGAGACACGGCCCAGACUCCUACGGGAGGCAGCAGUGGGGAAUAUUGGACAAUGGGGGGAACCCUGAUCCAGCCAUGCCGCGUGUGUGAAGAAGGCCUUAUGGUUGUAAAGCACUUUAAGCGAGGAGGAGGCUACUUUAGUUAAUACCUAGAGAUAGUGGACGUUACUCGCAGAAUAAGCACCGGCUAACUCUGUGCCAGCCGCCGCUGUAA